RNAcentral lists this ribosomal RNA (207 nucleotides) under uncultured bacterium. Its description in RNAcentral is "partial 16S ribosomal RNA". It matches the Rfam family "Bacterial small subunit ribosomal RNA", at positions 568 to 774 of the family's 1533-position model. The record is from RNAcentral.
CACGUAGGCGGAUCGUUAAGUCGGGGGUGAAAUCCUGGAGCUCAACUCCAGAACUGCCUUCGAUACUGGCGAUCUUGAGUCCGGAAGAGGUGAGUGGAACUCCUAGUGUAGAGGUGGAACUCGUAGAUAUUAGGAAGAACACCAGUGGCGAAGGCGGCUCACUGGUCCGGUACUGACGCUGAGGUGCGAAAGCGUGGGGAGCAAACA